GACGAACGCUGGCGGCGUGCUUAACACAUGCAAGUCGAGCGAUGAAGCACCUUCGGGUGUGAAUUAGCGGCGAACGGGUGAGGAACACGUGAGGAGUCUGCCUUCAACUCUGGGAUAACUCCGGGAAACCGGGGCUAAUACCGGAUACUUUCAACUGGCGGCAUCGCCGGUUGAAGAAAGUUUUUCGGUGGAAGAUGACCUCGCGGCCUAUCAGCGUGUUGGUGAGGUAAAGGCUCACCAAGGCGACGACGGGUAGCCGGCCUGGGAGGGCGACCGGCCACACUGGGACUGAGAUACGGCCCAGACUCCUACGGGAGGCAGCAGUGGGGAAUAUUUCACAAUGGGCGCAAGCCUGAUGCAGCGACGCCGCGUGAGGGAUGACGGCCUUCGGGUUGUAAACCUCUUUCAGUAGGGACGAAGCGCAAGUGACGGUACCUACAGAAGAAGGACCGGCCAACUACGUGCCAGCCGCCGCGGUAA
Molecule: ribosomal RNA, 480 nt
Filed under: uncultured bacterium
Lineage: Bacteria
Description: partial 16S ribosomal RNA
Rfam family: Bacterial small subunit ribosomal RNA
Source: RNAcentral